RNAcentral lists this ribosomal RNA (434 nucleotides) under uncultured Lachnospiraceae bacterium. RNAcentral's name for it is "partial 16S ribosomal RNA". It matches the Rfam family "Bacterial small subunit ribosomal RNA", at positions 341 to 792 of the family's 1533-position model. The record is from RNAcentral. Lineage: Bacteria; Bacillati; Bacillota; Clostridia; Lachnospirales; Lachnospiraceae.
ACGGAAGGCAGCAGUGGGGGAUAUUGCGCAAUGGGGGGAACCCUGACGCAGCAACGCCGCGUGAGUGAAGAAGUAUUUCGGUAUGUAAAGCUCUAUCAGCGGGGACGAAGAUGACGGUACCCGCAGAAGAAGUCCCGGCUAACUACGUGCCAGCAGCCGCGGUAAUACGUAGGGGACAAGCGUUAUCCGGAUUUACUGGGUGUAAAGGGAGCGUAGGCGGCGAAUCAAGUCAGAAGUGAAAGCCCGCGGCUCAACUGCGGGACUGCUUUUGAAACUGAUUAGCUAGAGUACUGGAGGGGCAAGCGGCAUUCCUGGUGUAGCGGUGAAAUGCGUAGAUAUCAGGAAGAACACCGGUGGCGAAGGCGGCUUGCUGGACAGAGACUGACGCUGAGGCUCGAAAGCGUGGGGAGCAAACAGGAUUAGAUACCCUGGUA